UUUCCGGGUUGAUCCUGCCGGGACCUGACUGCUAUCGGAUUGAUACUAAGCCAUGCGAGUCAUUGUAGUAAUACAAGGCAGACGGCUCAGUAACGCGUAGUCAACCUACCCUAUGGACGGGGAUAACCUCGGGAAACUGAGAAUAAUACCCGAUAGAACAUUAUACCUGGAAUGGUUUAUGUUUCAAAUAAUUUAUUGCCGUAGGAUGGGACUGCGGCCUAUCAGUUUGUUGGUGAGGUAAUGGCCCACCAAGACUAUUACAGGUACGGGCUCUGAGAGGAGUAGCCCGGAGAUGGGUACUGAGACACGGACCCAGGCCCUAUGGGGCGCAGCAGGCGAGAAGACUUUGCAAUGUGCGAAAGCACGACAAGGUUAAUCCGAGUGGUUUCUGCUAAAGGAACCUUUUGUCAGUCCUAGAAACACUGGUGAAUAAGGGGUGGGCAAGUUCUGGUGUCAGCCGCCGCGGUAAAACCAGCACCUCAAGUGGUCAGGAUGAUUAUUGGGCCUAAAGCAUCCGCAGCCUGCUUUGUUAGUUUUCGGUUAAAUCCAUACGCUUAACGUAUGGGCUGCCGGGAAUACUGCAAAGCUAGGGAGUGGGAGAGGUAGACGGUACUCGGUAGGAAGGGGUAAAAUCCUUUGAUCUAUUGAUGACCACCUGUGGCGAAGGCGGUCUACCAGAACACGUCCGACGGUGAGGGAUGAAAGCUGGGGGAGCAAACCGGAUUAGAUACCCGGGUAGUCCCAGCUGUAAACUAUGCAAACUCGGUGAUGCAUUGGCUUGAUGCCAAUGCAGUGCCGCAGGGAAGCCGUUAAGUUUGCCGCCUGGGAAGUACGUACGCAAGUAUGAAACUUAAAGGAAUUGGCGGGGGAGCACCACAAGGGGUGAAGCCUGCGGUUCAAUUGGAUUCAACGCCGGG
Molecule: ribosomal RNA, 917 nt
Filed under: uncultured archaeon
Lineage: Archaea
Description: bacterial SSU rRNA
Rfam family: Archaeal small subunit ribosomal RNA
Source: RNAcentral